UAUCUCUGUAGAGUCUGCAUAUCAAUAAGCGGAGGAAAAGAAACUAACAAGGAUUCCCUUAGUAACGGCGAGUGAAGCGGGAAGAGCUCAAAUUUGAAAUCUUCAAGGUUCUACCUUGACGAAUUGUAGUUUAAAGAAGUGUUUUCUGUUAGAUGAGUAGCAAAAGUUCCUUGGAAUGGGACAUCAUAGAGGGUGAGAAUCCCGUAUUUGGUUAUUCAUUCUAGCUUUGUGAUACACUUUCAAAGAGUCGGAUUGUUUGGGAAUGCAGUCCAAAAUGGGUGGUAAAUUUCAUCUAAAGCUAAAUAUUGGCGAGAGACCGAUAGCGGAACAAGUACCGUGAGGGAAAGAUGAAAAGAACUUUGAAAAGAGAGUUAAACAGUACGUGAAAUUGUCAAAAGGGAAGCGUUUGACACCAGUGUUGUUUUUCCGAAAAUCAAUUACGAAUGGCUUGAUUUUGUGUUGUAUUGACCUUAUCAGCUUUCUUCACUUUUUUCGAGUCUUUCUUAAUGCACUUUUUCGGUUAACAAGUCAACAUCAAUUUCUUUUGUUGUAAAAGAGUAUUCGGAAGGUGGCUUUCUUUUCGGAGAAAGUGUUUAUAGCCCUAUACUUCUACAAUCGGAGAGAUUGAGGUCUGCAGCGUAGAUCCUUCGGGGUUAGAUACACUUGUGCUAAGUUGUAGCUUUUCAUAGACAACUUGUUGACUAUGUUUAGUCAUGCGGCUUACUCGCUUGUGCUAUUUUACCUACGCUUAGGAUGUUGACUGAUAUGUAGUCGUA
Molecule: ribosomal RNA, 776 nt
Filed under: uncultured Neocallimastigales
Lineage: Eukaryota; Fungi; Neocallimastigomycota; Neocallimastigomycetes; Neocallimastigales
Description: partial large subunit ribosomal RNA
Rfam family: Eukaryotic large subunit ribosomal RNA
Source: RNAcentral